RNAcentral lists this ribosomal RNA (818 nucleotides) under Aymaria sp. Br16-188. Its description in RNAcentral is "partial 28S ribosomal RNA". The record is from RNAcentral. Lineage: Eukaryota; Metazoa; Arthropoda; Arachnida; Araneae; Pholcidae.
UGAGGGAAAGUUGCAAAGAACUUUGAAGAGAGAGUUCAAGAGUACGUGAAACUGCUCAGAGGCAAACAGGUGGAACCUCGAAAUCCUCUUGCGGAGAGAUUCAGUCGGGAGCGAAUGGGGCGGACGCGGGUAACGGACCCUUAAAAAGGACGGUUCCCGUGCCGUUGUCCACUUCGCACCCGACGCAUUUCUCGCCGCACUCGGGACGCCGCAACGGAUCGGGUAGCUGCGAGAGUCGGCCUUAGGGCGGUCCCUGGCAGGUGGCCGGAUGCUCAGCUUUGUCCGGGCUUCCGGUUAUUCACGGGGCCGUGCGUGGCGCGACACCCGAUCGAGGUCUACGUUCCCUUUGUGGGGAACCUGCCGUCUUCGUCCUCCGAGAUGCGGUGCUCGAGCCAGUGCGCGCCGAGGAUGCCGAACCACCCAGAGCGGUGGCCGGUUCCGCGGUGGCCGUCGAUGGGUUCGAGCUGCCCGCAGGGGACUGUUAGUACGGUCGGCGGCGAGUAGGUCGGUCAUCCACCUGGCCCGUCUUGAAACACGGACCAAGGAGUCUAACAUGUGCGCGAGUCGCAGGGUCUUGAACAGGCCCUCGGGCGCAAUGAAAGUGAAGGUCUUCCGACCGAGUUGGGACUCCCGUUCUCCGUCUGGAGCGGGAAGCACCAACGGCCCGUCCCUUCCGACUCGUCGGUGGGGCGGAGUCAGAGCGUACACGUUGGGACCCGAAAGAUGGUGAACUAUGCCUGGGCAGAACGAAGCCMGAGGAAACUCUGGUGGAGGUUCGGUAGCGGUUCUGACGUGCAWAUCGAUCGGUCANACCCAGG